UGCUGUAAAACUCCCACCGAACGGCAGUUUUUGCUGUAUUUUAUGUGAAGCCGACCCUGUGAUGUGUCAAGACGUGGAAAUCAAGGCAGAUGUUCCUCGUGUUCUUCAGGCUUGUGCUUCAAGCACCGAGUAAGUUCCACACCAAGGAGGAACUCGGGACAUUUUCCUGGUCAGCUUUUCUCUUACCAGCCAUCAAACGAUCUGCAGCAUCGUUGCCUGGCACACUGAAAUCCACCCACGCUGCUUUCCACAGUGCCUGUUCCAGCCGGGGGGGUGUAUUUUGAAUUAUCUGCUGUCCUUACUUGAGGAGAUCUGUUCUGCUCUGUUCCUUGAUGUUCCAGGCCGGGCUGCCAGCACCAUCAGAAGCGAUCGCCUUGCCGGUGGUUUCCUUGAGUCACCAGCAGAGCUGCUCCAAAGGAGG
Molecule: long non-coding RNA, 421 nt
Organism: Myiozetetes cayanensis
Lineage: Eukaryota; Metazoa; Chordata; Aves; Passeriformes; Tyrannidae
Exons: 3
Source: RefSeq, a predicted model, not a curated record